GCCUUUUUUUUUUUAAUCCCCCUCCACCCCUCUUCUCCUAGUUGUCAAGGCUCCAGGAUAUUAUUGCUUUCACUCUAGAAUAAUGGACUGCAAGUUUAAUCAAGGAUGCACUCAUAUCUAAAGCAGCUUUUAAUGAUUAGACAAUGAAGAAAAAGAUUAAACCUUUGAACCAUAAAUGGAGUCAGAGAAUGCACUCAUAUCUAAAGCAGCUUUUAAUGAUUAGACAAUGAAGAAAAAGAUUAAACCUUUGAACCAUAAAUGGAGUCAGAGA
RNAcentral lists this unclassified non-coding RNA (271 nucleotides) under Hevea brasiliensis (rubber tree). The record is from RNAcentral. Lineage: Eukaryota; Viridiplantae; Streptophyta; Magnoliopsida; Malpighiales; Euphorbiaceae.